Long non-coding RNA from Panicum hallii, 1336 nucleotides. RefSeq lists it as uncharacterized. The transcript is spliced from 3 exons. NCBI's taxonomy places the organism in Eukaryota, Viridiplantae, Streptophyta, Magnoliopsida, Poales, Poaceae. The record is from RefSeq and is a predicted model, not a curated record.
CAUGGAUACUUUGAAUUCAUUUGCUUUGGCACAGUACUGUGAGUUAAAUGUAUCCUUGGCCACAUGAUUUGCCAUAAUAUAUGUGUUGCGAAUUUGCGACUUGCACUUUGUUAGACCAUAUCUUGUAACUUAUGUUUCAUGUAUGUCUAUGUUGAUGGGCCUUGGUACUUAUUCAUAUAAAUUUGUAUUAUCGUACUUGAUCAUUAUUAUGCCAAAAUGCACUGUUAUGUCGUAUGAGCAUGCAUUUAGUGAAUGACAGUGUGAAUUAAUUUACAGCUGUAGCUCUCCUGGAAGAAUGAGGUGGUUGUUAAGAAUUCAAGGUUAUUCAAGCUCCUAUUUGGUUGUUCAAUUACUGAUCCUCUACUGAUCUCCUACUGUUCCUAUUUUCCUGGUGCAGGUCUCCCUAAAGAAUGCGACCUCUAAAAAUUCUAGCAACACAAGCCACUCACAAUCAGAUUUGGGCGAUGGGUGGUCUAACUGGUGGAACAUGGGUGCAGCUAUUGGUGUGUUAGCAGCGCAUGCAUCUUCAAGCUCAAGUGGAUGUGGAGUGAAAGAUGGACCCUUGCCCUUGCAUGAGUUGACAGGCUGUCGAUGGGUAGCUCAACCUUGCAAACAGUAAGAAAUGCUACAAAGAUUUCCGUCUUCAUCAUGCUUUAUUCAAAUUGUUGCAUGCAACCUUAGUGGCGGUGCACGGGCUAAAAUCUACACGGCUCACACCCCUCCUGUUACCUCAAAAAGAAAAAUCUACACGGCAAUGUGAAUCAAUUGUGGCGUUAGGGAUGUUCCUAUGGGCAUGUGGCACAAGACAAUGUCAAAGACAAAUGUCAGAUAGAGCAGGAAGUUCAGUGAAGUGUUAGAUGUUGUGGUCUCUUUUGCGCAUAGGAUUAUUAGGCCGGGGGAUCCAACAUUCAGAUUAAGUCAGUUCUCACCAUAUUGUGAUGGGUGCAUAUGAACUAUAGAUGUAACUCAUAUUAUGGUGGCAGUCCCUGAGCACGCAUAUGAUGAUUUCAUAAACAGAAAAGGGUUCACCAGCCAAAAUGUCUUGGCCGUGUGUGUCAUGGACAUUUGUCGCUAUGGGUAAGAAGGGUGCCGCCCAUGACACGGCUGUUUUUAGGGAAGCGGUGAACAGUAAUGACCAUUUCCCACAUGUUUGGGAACGGCAGCUACCUUACAAGGACGGGUGAAGAAAAUGAUCCGGCAACAGAUUGGUUAGCGGCUACUGCCAGUGAUGAUACUGCCACUGCGUGAUUGGAUUGCAGCUGGGCUUUAUGGUUUGGUGUGAUUGGUAAACAUUUUUGAGCUGCUAUGUAGUGUGUAAGGUCACGACUGAUUUGUU